This 2903-nucleotide ribosomal RNA is filed under the name Enterobacter hormaechei. RNAcentral describes it as "23S ribosomal RNA". It matches the Rfam family "Bacterial large subunit ribosomal RNA". The record is from RNAcentral. Lineage: Bacteria; Pseudomonadati; Pseudomonadota; Gammaproteobacteria; Enterobacterales; Enterobacteriaceae.
GGUUAAGCGACUAAGCGUACACGGUGGAUGCCCUGGCAGUCAGAGGCGAUGAAGGACGUGCUAAUCUGCGAAAAGCGCCGGCGAGGUGAUAUGAACCUUUGACCCGGCGAUGUCCGAAUGGGGAAACCCAGUGUGUUCCGACACACUAUCGUUAACUGAAUACAUAGGUUAACGAGGCGAACCGGGGGAACUGAAACAUCUAAGUACCCCGAGGAAAAGAAAUCAACCGAGAUUCCCCCAGUAGCGGCGAGCGAACGGGGAGCAGCCCGGAGUCUGAAUCAGCUUGUGUGUUAGUGGAACGGUCUGGAAAGUCCGACGGUACAGGGUGAUAGUCCCGUACACGAAAAUGCACAUGCUGUGAACUCGAAGAGUAGGGCGGGACACGUGGUAUCCUGUCUGAAUAUGGGGGACCAUCCUCCAAGGCUAAAUACUCCUGACUGACCGAUAGUGAACCAGUACCGUGAGGGAAAGGCGAAAAGAACCCCGGCGAGGGGAGUGAAAAAGAACCUGAAACCGUGUACGUACAAGCAGUGGGAGCACCUUCGGGUGUGACUGCGUACCUUUUGUAUAAUGGGUCAGCGACUUAUAUUCUGUAGCAAGGUUAACCGUAUAGGGGAGCCGAAGGGAAACCGAGUCUUAACUGGGCGUUAAGUUGCAGGGUAUAGACCCGAAACCCGGUGAUCUAGCCAUGGGCAGGUUGAAGGUUGGGUAACACUAACUGGAGGACCGAACCGACUAAUGUUGAAAAAUUAGCGGAUGACCUGUGGCUGGGGGUGAAAGGCCAAUCAAACCGGGAGAUAGCUGGUUCUCCCCGAAAGCUAUUUAGGUAGCGCCUCGUGAACUCAUCUUCGGGGGUAGAGCACUGUUUCGGCUAGGGGGCCAUCCCGGCUUACCAACCCGAUGCAAACUACGAAUACCGAAGAAUGUUAUCACGGGAGACACACGGCGGGUGCUAACGUCCGUCGUGAAGAGGGAAACAACCCAGACCGCCAGCUAAGGUCCCAAAGUCAUGGUUAAGUGGGAAACGAUGUGGGAAGGCACAGACAGCCAGGAUGUUGGCUUAGAAGCAGCCAUCAUUUAAAGAAAGCGUAAUAGCUCACUGGUCGAGUCGGCCUGCGCGGAAGAUGUAACGGGGCUAAACCAUGCACCGAAGCUGCGGCAGCGACGCUUAUGCGUUGUUGGGUAGGGGAGCGUUCUGUAAGCCGUUGAAGGUGUGCUGUGAGGCAUGCUGGAGGUAUCAGAAGUGCGAAUGCUGACAUAAGUAACGAUAAAGCGGGUGAAAAGCCCGCUCGCCGGAAGACCAAGGGUUCCUGUCCAACGUUAAUCGGGGCAGGGUGAGUCGACCCCUAAGGCGAGGCCGAAAGGCGUAGUCGAUGGGAAACAGGUUAAUAUUCCUGUACUUGGUGUUACUGCGAAGGGGGGACGGAGAAGGCUAUGUCAGCCGGGCGACGGUUGUCCCGGUUUAAGCAUGUAGGCGGAGGUUCCAGGUAAAUCCGGUACCUUAUUAACGCUGAGGUGUGAUGACGAGGCACUACGGUGCUGAAGUGAUAAAUGCCCUGCUUCCAGGAAAAGCCUCUAAGCAUCAGGUAACACGAAAUCGUACCCCAAACCGACACAGGUGGUCAGGUAGAGAAUACCAAGGCGCUUGAGAGAACUCGGGUGAAGGAACUAGGCAAAAUGGUGCCGUAACUUCGGGAGAAGGCACGCUGAUAUGUAGGUGAAGCCCCUGCGGGCGGAGCUGAAAUCAGUCGAAGAUACCAGCUGGCUGCAACUGUUUAUUAAAAACACAGCACUGUGCAAACACGAAAGUGGACGUAUACGGUGUGACGCCUGCCCGGUGCCGGAAGGUUAAUUGAUGGGGUUAGCGGCAACGCGAAGCUCUUGAUCGAAGCCCCGGUAAACGGCGGCCGUAACUAUAACGGUCCUAAGGUAGCGAAAUUCCUUGUCGGGUAAGUUCCGACCUGCACGAAUGGCGUAAUGAUGGCCAGGCUGUCUCCACCCGAGACUCAGUGAAAUUGAACUCGCUGUGAAGAUGCAGUGUACCCGCGGCAAGACGGAAAGACCCCGUGAACCUUUACUAUAGCUUGACACUGAACACUGGUCCUUGAUGUGUAGGAUAGGUGGGAGGCUUUGAAGCGUGGACGCCAGUCUGCGUGGAGCCGCCCUUGAAAUACCACCCUUUAAUGGCUGGUGUUCUAACGUAGACCCGUGAUCCGGGUUGCGGACAGUGUCUGGUGGGUAGUUUGACUGGGGCGGUCUCCUCCCAAAGAGUAACGGAGGAGCACGAAGGUUGGCUAAUCCUGGUCGGACAUCAGGAGGUUAGUGCAAUGGCAUAAGCCAGCUUGACUGCGAGCGUGACGGCGCGAGCAGGUGCGAAAGCAGGUCAUAGUGAUCCGGUGGUUCUGAAUGGAAGGGCCAUCGCUCAACGGAUAAAAGGUACUCCGGGGAUAACAGGCUGAUACCGCCCAAGAGUUCAUAUCGACGGCGGUGUUUGGCACCUCGAUGUCGGCUCAUCACAUCCUGGGGCUGAAGUAGGUCCCAAGGGUAUGGCUGUUCGCCAUUUAAAGUGGUACGCGAGCUGGGUUUAGAACGUCGUGAGACAGUUCGGUCCCUAUCUGCCGUGGGCGCUGGAGAAUUGAGGGGGCUGCUCCUAGUACGAGAGGACCGGAGUGGACGCAUCACUGGUGUUCGGGUUGUCAUGCCAAUGGCACUGCCCGGUAGCUAAAUGCGGAAGAGAUAAGUGCUGAAAGCAUCUAAGCACGAAACUUGCCCCGAGAUGAGUUCUCCCUGAGACUUUAAGUCUCCUGAAGGAACGUUGAAGACGACGACGUUGAUAGGUCGGGUGUGUAAGCGCAGCGAUGCGUUGAGCUAACCGAUACUAAUGAACCGUGAGGCUUAACCUU